RNAcentral lists this ribosomal RNA (493 nucleotides) under uncultured bacterium. RNAcentral's name for it is "partial 16S ribosomal RNA". It matches the Rfam family "Bacterial small subunit ribosomal RNA", at positions 30 to 507 of the family's 1533-position model. The record is from RNAcentral.
AUUGAACGCUGGCGGCAUGCUUUACACAUGCAAGUCGAACGGCAGCGCGGAGAAGCUUGCUUCUCUGUCGGCGAGUGGCUAACGGGUGAGUAUAGCAUCGGAACGUGCCAAGUAGUGGGGGAUAACCAAACGAAAGUUUGGCUAAUACCGCGUAAGCUCUAAGGAGGAAAGUAGGGGACCUAAAUAAGGCCUUACGCUAUUUGAUCGGCCGAUGUCGGAUUAGCUAGUUGGUGGGGUAAUGGCUCACCAAGGCAAUGAUCCGUAGCGGGUCUGAGAGGACGAUCCGCCACACUGGGACUGAGAAACGGCCCAGACUCCUACGGGAGGCAGCAGUGGGGAAUUUUGGACAAUGGGGGAAACCCUGAUCCAGCCAUGCCGCGUGUAUGAAGAAGGCCUUAGGGUUGUAAAGUACUUUUGUUAGGGAAGAAAAGCUAGUUUUUAAUAAAAAUUAGUGAUGACGGUACCUAAAGAAUAAGCACCGGCUAACUACGUG